RNAcentral lists this ribosomal RNA (424 nucleotides) under uncultured bacterium. RNAcentral describes it as "SSU rRNA". It matches the Rfam family "Bacterial small subunit ribosomal RNA", at positions 369 to 808 of the family's 1533-position model. The record is from RNAcentral.
CNAUGGGGGAACCCUGAUGCAGCGACGCCGCGUGGAGGAAGAAGGUCUUCGGNAACGUAAACUCCUGGAAGUNGAGGAAGAUAAUGACGGUACUCAACAAGGCAAGUGACGGCUAACUACGUGCCAGCAGCCGCGGUAAAACGUAGGUCACAAGCGUUGUCCGGAAUUACUGGGUGUAAAGGGAGCGCAGGCGGGAAGACAAGUUGGAAGUGAAAUCUAUGGGCUCAACCCAUAAACUGCUUUCAAAACUGUUUUUCUUGAGUAGUGCAGAGGUAGGCGGAAUUCCCGGUGUAGCGGUGGAAUGCGUAGAUAUCGGGAGGAACACCAGUGGCGAAGGCGGCCUACUGGGCACCAACUGACGCUGAGGCUCGAAAGUGUGGGUAGCAAACAGGAUUAGAUACCCUGGUAGUCCAAGGGCGAAUUC